GUCUACUGCCAUACCACCCUGAAAGCACCUGAUCUUGUCUGAUCUCAGAAGCUAAGCAGGGUUGGGCCUGGUUAGUAGCUGGAUGGGAGAAAAGAUAUAAAGACAGAUGAGACA
This 114-nucleotide ribosomal RNA is filed under the name Prolemur simus (greater bamboo lemur). The record is from RNAcentral. Lineage: Eukaryota; Metazoa; Chordata; Mammalia; Primates; Lemuridae.